This is a non-coding RNA of Brachypodium distachyon (stiff brome), 125 nucleotides long. Lineage: Eukaryota; Viridiplantae; Streptophyta; Magnoliopsida; Poales; Poaceae. The record is from Rfam.
AACCUACUCCCUCCGUCCCAUAUUAAGUGACUUUCUAUUACAUGUAUCUAGACACUUUUUAGGCAUCGAUACAUCCAUAUUUGGAUAAAUUUGAGUCACUUAAUAUGGGACGGAGGGAGUAAAUU